CGCCUUCCUGGCUAGUAUCCUUUUCCUACAUUUUUUACAUUUGGAAGCUCUUUGCAGUGGCUGUGUGAUCCACCUGCCUCCUGGAGAGGUGGCGUUCUCCUGCGGGAGCUGCUGGCUUCCUCCCCGGAAGGUUGACCCUCAGCUGCCUGGGAGAACCUGUGCUCUGUGACAGCCGCGCCUUCCUAAGCGGGUGAGUGGCGUGAUGCGAUGCGAUGGGGAGCUUCGGGAUUCUGCUUUCAGGGGCCUGGGUGCUGGGACUUCAGUGGUCAGGUGGAUGGCAGGGA
RNAcentral lists this long non-coding RNA (284 nucleotides) under Dasypus novemcinctus (nine-banded armadillo). Its description in RNAcentral is "lncRNA (ENSDNOG00000049821.1)". The record is from RNAcentral. Lineage: Eukaryota; Metazoa; Chordata; Mammalia; Cingulata; Dasypodidae.